Molecule: long non-coding RNA, 396 nt
Filed under: Oryctolagus cuniculus (rabbit)
Lineage: Eukaryota; Metazoa; Chordata; Mammalia; Lagomorpha; Leporidae
Description: lncRNA (ENSOCUG00000034191.1)
Source: RNAcentral
UAGAUUUUCCCAGUGCCUGAUAUCAAGCUUUCACUUUUCGGGUCCUGCCUGAACUCCAUGGACUUCUAGCAGGAGGAGUACAAUCAUCCCUAGACACAGCGCCAAUUGCUUACUCAACACCAUCUUGCCUUUCAUUUCCAGCCAUCAGUUUUGUGAAUGAGAACUCAAGUUGCACCAGCUAUUGGCUUCCUGGAAUUGAUAGAGACAUUUAACAGCAGCAAGAUCUGUGAAGCAUUUGUUCCUGCCACUGCCCAUCAACUGAAUACAACCUAGCAGGUAGCCAUGUAAAACUUCCUCAGUUUGCAAAAGAGGGUAGAAAAGUAUCAUUAUCUUGCUCAUUAGGGCUUUUGCCCCAUCAGCUUCAAUUAAGUUGAAACUGGAACAAGUUCAUUUCAC